Ornithodoros turicata is the source of this 271-nucleotide long non-coding RNA. RefSeq lists it as uncharacterized. Lineage: Eukaryota; Metazoa; Arthropoda; Arachnida; Ixodida; Argasidae. The record is from RefSeq and is a predicted model, not a curated record. The transcript has 3 exons.
CUCUUUGGUAGCAAGCAAAGUGAAAUCAUUACCUACUUCGGAGCCGUUCUAAACUCAGUAAACCUUAGGUAUGACACCAUCGAAGACCCGAGAGUCACUGUAAAGAUUACUGGCUUCACUUUCAAUGACAUUGUCGAGGAAGAGAAGUAUAUUGCAACUUUUGGCCGAUACGGGGAAGAAUUUCAGAAGUAUGUCGAUAUGAAAACCACUUUGGACAACUUCAGGGAUACUUAUCGCACGAAGCAGUCUACUCUCUUUGCGAAAGUGGAUG